This 338-nucleotide ribosomal RNA is filed under the name uncultured bacterium. RNAcentral's name for it is "bacterial SSU rRNA". It matches the Rfam family "Bacterial small subunit ribosomal RNA", at positions 335 to 666 of the family's 1533-position model. The record is from RNAcentral.
ACUCCUACGGGAGGCAGCAGUAGGGAAUUUUCGCAAUGGAGGAAACUCUGACGGAGCAAUACCGCGUGUGGGAAGAAGAUUUUCGGAUUGUAAACCACUGUUGUAAGGGAAGAACGUUAUUAGUAGGAAAUGGCUAAUAAGUGACGGUACCUUACCAGAAAGGGACGGCUAACUACGUGCCAGCAGCCGCGGUAAUACGUAGGUCCCGAGCGUUAUCCGGAAUUAUUGGGCGUAAAGGGCACGUAGGCGGACAAAUAAGUUUGAUGUCAAAUAUGAUGGCUCAACCAUCAAGAGGCGUUGAAAACUGUUUAUCUAGAAUCUCGGAGAGGUAAGUGGAA